This 449-nucleotide small RNA is filed under the name Tatumella morbirosei. RNAcentral's name for it is "cspA thermoregulator". It matches the Rfam family "cspA thermoregulator". The record is from Rfam by way of RNAcentral. Lineage: Bacteria; Pseudomonadati; Pseudomonadota; Gammaproteobacteria; Enterobacterales; Erwiniaceae.
CUGUAUAUGUAUGGCAUUUUCAGUAAAGAAGAUAUGAGUAAAGACGUUAUCGUUAGAACUGCUUCCUUUGCCGAACCAAAUAUUAGUGCCUCAUUCAGUAAUGUCCCACGUUUUUCUGUAACACUGCCUCCGGGCAAAAUAAACAUUUAAAGGAAUUUGCAAAAUGGCAAAGAUUAAAGGUCAGGUUAAGUGGUUCAACGAGUCUAAAGGUUUUGGUUUCAUUACUCCUGCAGACGGCAGCAAAGAUGUAUUCGUACAUUUCUCUGCAAUCCAGGGUAAUGGCUUCAAAACUCUGGCUGAAGGCCAGAACGUAGAGUUCGAAAUUCAGGACGGUCAGAAAGGACCAGCAGCGGUUAACGUAACUGCUAUCUGAUUAAACGAAUCUCUUUCCGGAAUCACUUCCUGAAAUGAUGAAUUGUGAAACCCCGCUCAGUGAGCGGGGUUUUUUG